This 4370-nucleotide long non-coding RNA is filed under the name Physcomitrium patens. RNAcentral describes it as "long non-coding RNA (PPAT_LNC008051)". The record is from RNAcentral. Lineage: Eukaryota; Viridiplantae; Streptophyta; Bryopsida; Funariales; Funariaceae.
UAGACGUUACAAAGAACCUCGAACAAUCCAAACUGCUAAUCUUCGAUACCGCUUUACACUCACGAUCUUGUAUCCACUGACUGUCUUGUUAGAUUAACCCAAUAAAUUUCAUUCACUCCGCAUACUCAAUCCUAUAGAUACCUUUUUAAUUCUUCAUCAUAGAUGUUACUUGAUUUCACAAAACAGUCAAGAGUAAUCAUAUCCACUUCAUUAAAAUCCCGAUUCACCAGUCCAACACUGACUUCAACAACGAUUGUCUCAGUCUUCCCAAAACCCUAUGAAUAAAAAAAAAUCCCAAUUCUCUGUCUUUUUUCCCCACUCCGAAGCAUGAAACUCUUUCCGACCCCUUCUAAAAAACUUAUUCCCUCCCUCCUUCAUUUCUUAACCUAUCCUCCCCUUUAACCCUAAUUCUCCCCUCUUUCAAAUCCUAGCCUCUGAAUUUCUUCAAUCUUCCGUCUUGGAUCUAAAAUUGGCUCCCGCAGUCAGAGCUUUUUCCUCCAUUUUUACCUUUAAGAGAUCCUUUUAUCAAAAGGACGUUCCCAGAACAGCACAAAGGACGGAACAGCUUGAAACAAAAUUGGAGCCCCGUAAUCAGGACCACAUUAAGUCGCCCGACCAAUUCAGGUCUCAUAUUGGGUAAGAGGCCCGUAUUAAGACUUGAAUAUUCUUGCAAUUGGAUCGCAUUAGAUUGCUCGACCAAGUCAGGUCUCAUAUAGGAUAAGACGACCCAGAUUAAAUGUCUUGAAGUUGGAUCCAAUUGGCUCUUCUAACUAGACUCACCCGUCGUUGAAUUGGUCCUUUUCCUUUCUGCUGACUCUCGUUAUUGGAAUCGAACGGAGCAUUUCAGUAUGCCCUGGCUGACUGUAGUAGGGUGACUGACCCUGACCUCUCAGUAUUUGCACUGGAAUUGGUCAUUGCUCCCAAUAUUCGAGGUAACUGAACAUUAAUAAAAGUCCCCUUUCUUUAUAUUUUACGGUAUACUCAUGUUACAACAUGACAUCCACCCCCUCUGAACCUGUGCAUCCUCCGGUAAGCACCAAUUUACCCAAUUGCUGUUUAAUUUAUAAUAUAUUCUCUACGUCUUUGUCCAGUUCGUCUUCAUCACCUUCAUUAUCCAAAUCACUUUCAUCUUUUUGUUGUGUACCUAACUUGCAUAAUACUCCUUUAAUAUUAUAUAAUCUUUUUCUUUCUUUUCUUUUAAAAUCAUCAACUUUCUUAUACAUAAUAUUUUCAUUCUCCAAAAUAUCAAUAAAACUCACAUCAAAGGCACCUUUAUUUCGCGAGAAUACCUCCUCUUUUGUACCUACAUAAUCUCGCUUUAUAGUGGUACCUCCCCAAAAUCCUUAAAUCCUUCAACAAUCUUUGGCAAUGGUUUCUCCCUCAACCUAUCUCGAUUCCGUUCAUGGUUAGGAGGUAUUGUUAGAAAUUGUAUAGCUUUCCUCCCAUCUUCGCUCCGUACCCUUGCAUAAGCAAAACCAUCGUCAAGUACUUUUAUUUCCAUCCGUGUUGCCGUAAUAUAAGGUUGUCCUAAAAUCAAUGGAUAAGACGUUGUAUCUUGAACAAAGAAAUGUUGCUCCAUCGCAACAUCCCCAAUCCGAAUUUUGACAUCUUGACAAGCUCCAUAUAAUUCGCCCCGUGUGUUAUUAGUUGCUCGUAUUACCCAUCCAUGUUCCAUAUCAAUUGGCCAUUUUUGCUUCUUAUAAAGAUCUUUAGACAUGAGAUUUAUUUCAGAACCAUGGUCGACCAAAGCAACUAUUAGUUCAUCUAUAUCUGCUACCUUCACCAAUACCUCAGUAGUUGCCCUUGCCCAAUGCUUUCGAGUAUAAUGGCUCAAAGUUUCCAUUUCCUUGUCACUAGAAUCUUCGAAACGUACUUGCUGAUUAUAUCCAUUCUUUUCAUUUGUUGGUUACUUGUAACCAAUAUCAACCUCUUCUUCAUCUCUACAUAUUCUUGCAUCAAUAGCAUGACUCAUUCCACUUUCACCCAUUAAUUGCCUCUUUCGCUUAAUGCUGUCAAUGAUAACAUCAUGAAACUCCUUCUUUACAAUUUCAAAAACUUCUUUUAAUGUGAAUUUUACCUUAGCAUUUAAUAUACGUUCUUCCAACACCCCUUUCAAAUUUGUUGCCACUUCAAUGUCAGAAAGUAGCUUUUAAGCAAUUGAUUUGUCCUUAUCUUUUGUCUCUCUUGUUUUUUCUUCCAAUGAUGGUGAGGUAUCCUUUAUAGGCAAUUCUUGUGAAGCUGCCUCCCGAACCUUGGCUCCUCAAGUUUACCUCUUAGAAGAAUUUCCUUCUCUCGUAUCAUCAAAAUUUCCUCGUCUCUUUUCUUUCAUCAAAGCUUCAUGUUGGCUCUUAGCAAUAUAUGCAUGAACUGAAAGAGACUCAACAGGAUCAUCCCAACCUGUUGCACCUCGUAUUGUAGCUGCAGUUCUCAAUAACGCUUCUCGAGGUAAUUUCCCUUCUUGCAUUGUAGAAACGGCAGAAGCCCAAAACUCACUAGUUUUUGUACUUCCACCAAAGUCUUCAUCUACUCUAGCACCAUACCUUGCACUUUCUCGUGUUACUGUUUCACGCUCUUUUAAGUAAUCUUGAACCAAUGCUCUCAUUCCUCCUUUGCCAAAAUUGAUUUGAAGAAGAUCCUCUCUAUCUUUUAAUGCUAUCUUCCCAUCUUUUUAGCAAAUAAUUCCUUGUCGUAUCAUAUUAUUAAAUUCAUUGCAAUCUUUUCUAGUGUGUGAAGCAUCAUCACACCAAAUGAAUCUUUGUACAUAUCCUUGUUUUGAAACAUUCUUCGAAUUGUUUGUAGAAGUAUUCUCUUCAAGUCUUGCCAAUUUGAUUUAAAGAUCUCGCAUUCCUCAUAUAAUUUCUUCCAUCCCCAUAUCUGCCUUCUUUGAUAAGGAUGUCGAAGGUUGAACUGUAGGCAUUGUUGGUGGUGUUGUAUGUACUGGAGCUUUGGGUGCUUAUACUGUUUUUGGAAUAUUACUCCUAUCCUUCCUCCUUUCUCUUUUUGUAAGCAACCCCACUGCAUCUUCAACGUUCUUUCACUUUGUUGUCAAUCUUCAUCUUCUUCUUUGUCUUCAAGAAGGAGUUCUAGUUUUCCUUGCAAUUCUCCAUCAACAGCUUGAAGAAAUAGAUCAACUUUGUUUGGCUCCAAUGUCAAUUUUUCUACCUUCGAUAAUUGAGAGUACUGCCUCUCAAAUUCCCUUAGUAGCUCUGUUGCUUGCAAAUUCUUAUUAGGUCGUUCAAUCCAUUCCAGAAACAACUUCUUAGUAAUGUGAUCAGCAUCUUCCAAGAAAUAUUCAUCUUUCAAUGCAUGUGAAAAAACCUCCUAUGAAUUCCCAUAACGAUCCGUAAUUGAUAUAAUAUGGUCUUUUAUCUUCGGUAUCGUGGGAAGUCCAAAUAAUUCAACCAUUUUCUUCUCAAAAACCCGAUUUAAUUCCAUUUCAUGAACAUAACAUCCUAAAUACCUUGAAAUAUUCCUUCCAUCAAAUUGAUCAAUUUUAUUGACCACUGCUUGCAAUGCUUUGGUUGCCAAAGCUUCCUUUCGAUCAUUGCUUUGCUGUUGCUACAUUGAUAAUGAGAAGGCUUGAAACAUACUAGCAAUAGAUUGAUCCAUGUGCAUAUCUUGUCCUUUAGAAGAACCCCCACCAGAAACUCCUCCCAAACAUCCUUCAAAAUUUUUAUUUUUGUUUUCCAUAAAAAUAAAAAUAAAAACAAACGCAAUCCAAUACCUUCCACCUCAAGCUUUCACGUCGAGUUCACCACUUUAUGUUGUCUUACAUGCUUUCCUGCUUGAGAACACGCUGGGCGUCUGGCUGUAGAAGGUAGUAUGGAGAUUCUCUAAUAUUCAAGCAGUCUAUCGGUUUUUGACUGUUGGAAUAUAAACAACUGCAAGAAUAUACCGUAAAUCUAUAUGGAUGUCCUUUGACUGCUCCCCGAAAUCCUUUUCGCCCCAACCGGUAGGUCUCUAGACAUUAUAGAGAACCCCGAACAACCCAAACUCCUAAUCUUCGAUAUCGCUUUAUACUCACGAUCUUGUAUCCACUGACUGUCUCGUUAGAUUAACCCAAUAAAUUUCAUUCACUCUGCAUACUCAAUCCUAUAGACAUCCUUUUAAUUCUUCAUCACAGAUGUAACUUGAUUUCACAAAACAGUCAAGAAUAAUCAUACCCACUUCAUUAAAAUCCCGAUUCACCAGUCCAACACUGACUUCAACAACGAUUGCCUCAAUCUUCCCAAAACCCUAUGAAAAAAAAAAAAUCCCAAUUCUCUGUCUUUUUUCCCUGCCCCGAAGCAUGAAACUCUCUCCGACCCCUUCUAAAAAACUUAUUCCCUCCCCCCUUCAUUUCUUAACCUAUCCUCCCCUUUAACUCUAAU